UACUCCUACGGGAGGCAGCAGGCGCGUAAAUUACCCAAUGGGGACAUCCCGAGGUAGUGACAAUAAAUACUGCUGCGAGCGCCUUACGGUGCCCGCAAGUGGAAUGAGUACAAUUUAAAUCCCUUAACGAGGAACGAUUGGAGGGCAAGUCUGGUG
Molecule: ribosomal RNA, 156 nt
Filed under: uncultured bacterium
Lineage: Bacteria
Description: partial 16S ribosomal RNA
Rfam family: Eukaryotic small subunit ribosomal RNA
Source: RNAcentral